GCCAGGUGUGGUGGCACACACCUGUAAUUCCAGCAACUCGGGAGGCUGAGGCAGGGGAUCUCAAGCCAGCCUCAGCAACUUAGCGAGGCCCUAAACAACUCAGUGAGACUCUGUCUCAA
RNAcentral lists this small RNA (119 nucleotides) under Marmota monax (woodchuck). Lineage: Eukaryota; Metazoa; Chordata; Mammalia; Rodentia; Sciuridae. The record is from RNAcentral.